ACCUGGCUGGCUCAGUCAAUGGAGCAUGAGACUCUCAAUCUCGGGUUGUGAGUUUGAGCCCCAUGUUGAGUG
RNAcentral lists this transfer RNA (72 nucleotides) under Felis catus (domestic cat). It matches the Rfam family "tRNA". Rfam says of the family: Transfer RNA (tRNA) molecules are approximately 80 nucleotides in length. Their secondary structure includes four short double-helical elements and three loops (D, anti-codon, and T loops). The record is from Rfam by way of RNAcentral. Lineage: Eukaryota; Metazoa; Chordata; Mammalia; Carnivora; Felidae.